RNAcentral lists this long non-coding RNA (284 nucleotides) under Homo sapiens (human). Its description in RNAcentral is "HSALNT0061301". The record is from RNAcentral. Lineage: Eukaryota; Metazoa; Chordata; Mammalia; Primates; Hominidae.
GCAGGCAUGCUCCUUGUCAUGUCCUAUGUCCACAGGCAGUGGGUUUCCUCUCUCUGCAAGUUCACCUGGGCAGAGCCUGCUUCCUCAGCUUUGGGCCACUUCAGUCUUUUCUCCACCCCAGAUGUUUAAGUGAGCCCUGACUCACAGCUGGUUACAUGGGAGUAUGCAGCAAAGAGUUAUGAUGCCUCCUGAUCUUCAGCUUCUGGAGUCCCGUGGAGUUAAUCCAGGUCCCUCAGGGUCCUCAGAUGCCCAGUUACAGGCUCUGAACCUAUGGUGCCAGAUCA